CAUCGCACACCCACCAUAGCUCCUACUUUCCUCCAUACCUUGUCCGCAAAGUGAUCCACAUAUUGACUUCUUAUACUAUUAAAAUAUGCUUGCGGCGUUAACAAUGGAUAUUUUUGCCGAUAAAGGUCUAAAUGCCAUUGGUAAACCUACUUGUACAUGGAUUUUUUCAUUCGAUACAUAUUGAAGUGAAAGUCACAUUGAUAAG
This 205-nucleotide long non-coding RNA is filed under the name Olea europaea (common olive). RNAcentral describes it as "long non-coding RNA (OEUR_LNC003270)". The record is from RNAcentral. Lineage: Eukaryota; Viridiplantae; Streptophyta; Magnoliopsida; Lamiales; Oleaceae.